AUCACACAAUCGUCAAAAUGUGCAGUUGAGUGAAGCGAUGUAUGAAAUUUUUGGGUGCAUUGAAGCAUUUGUUGAGGGAGCUAACUCUCAUAUUGUUUUUUUUCCUACUUUUUGGGAAUUGACGCCUGCAACUGAAUAGCAAUUGAUGAAGAUGAUAUCACGGCCGACAUUAAAUGUACUGAGGCUUCUUACGCCCGCACAUCAGUAUUUGUUCAAUCCAUUUCUUAUGGAGAAAUAUUGCGCUCCUAUCCUAGUCAAUAAAAUUCAAGCAAAACUUUUAUCAUCACAACCGCUAGAAACAAUAAAGGAUACAUGGCUCUCAACCAAAAUGAUGAACACCCGUUUGCGUUUAGGCAUGGCACCAAGACCAAACCCUUACUAUCGUCUUAGAGGUUUGAUUCUUUUUCAAGGGGUUGAGGCUGUAAAUUGGAAGGACUAUUUUAAAAUUUUUCAGAUGGAAGACACAUUUCAUUCAUGGUUUUUAGUAAUUGAACUCCAUAUGUGGAUGUUAAAUGUCAGAAUAGCCCGUGAAAAGAAAGAGGGUGACAUGAUUAAGAAGUAUUCCAUGGAGCACAUGUGGGACGCUGCCCAAGCAAGAGCCAAAAAGCUAGAAUCUUAUGCACCAUCUGCAAUGCAAGACGGCUUUGAGGCUUUGCAUGAAGAACUUAUUGCUGCAUUUUUAUUAUACGAUCAUGGACUUCUUACAUCAGAUGUAGAACUUGCUGGAGCUCUCUAUUUCCGUUUCUUACAAGAGAAAUGUGAUGACCCGGAAAAGCUAGAGAUCUUGGUGAAACACGUGAGAAAUCAGAUACAUCUUCUAGACGAUUCGUCAAAAGAAGAAAUUGUGGAUAGAGCAAAUGUUAAAUGGCUGCCUAUAUCUGAAAAAUUAUAGAAAUACAUUUAUACCAUAGGACUUUUUCCAAAUUGUCCUUUUGCAGUGUGAAAGGAUAUUGGCUGAACUUUUGGCAGUGAUCAUUCUGACCAGGCACGGUUUUUAGCGAGUUGCAUAUAACCCUUUCUGCACACCACUGAUCACAUCCUCUUCGGUGGCUGGGAUCACUAUCCAACAUGUGAGACCUGGAUAGGGCAAAAAGGAACAAUAGGAAAUUAAGCAGUAUAAAUGUGGAUGAUUCAUCUUCAAAUUUUACAGGGGAACAUUUUUUAAUUUACCAGUAAUAUUUCUGCAACAUUUGUCUGUCUGUAGCUAGACUUCCUAUAAAUGUUUCCAGAUGAACAGGAUGCAUGGAUUUCACUCCAAAUGUCUCUUUAAAAGAGUAGAUACGAUACCAGUCUGGCCUUUUAUCUGGGUUUUCAUUUGCAUGUGUUAAAUUAAAUCCCCAGAGUUCUGCGUCUAUUACAUCCUGAGUGAAGAAAGAUAAACAAGAUAAAAGGAAUUAACUUGUAUGUUAUUCUUCACUUACAUGUACAAUUGUACUGUACACAUGUACUAACCCAUGUUGCUUGCUCAUUUUUGCCAUCGACCAGGUAUAGUUUGUAAUUGGGGUUUACAUCAGAAUACGUUGUAAGAGAGCCUCCAUUGUAUGCUACAUUAUUAGGCCGGCCGUUCUGAUCAUAAAACAGAACCAAGUCAUCAACAUGUGUGUGUCCAUUAAAAUGAGCUGAUAUUGUCGCUGAAAAUCUGAAAGGGAAAGUAUUUUAAAAGAAUAAAAAAAUAAGUAGACUUGAUACUAUA
Molecule: RNA transcript, 1693 nt
Organism: Frankliniella occidentalis (western flower thrips)
Lineage: Eukaryota; Metazoa; Arthropoda; Insecta; Thysanoptera; Thripidae
Gene: Uqcc1
Gene name: ubiquinol-cytochrome-c reductase complex assembly factor 1
Exons: 7
Source: RefSeq, a predicted model, not a curated record